RNAcentral lists this ribosomal RNA (520 nucleotides) under uncultured Glomus. RNAcentral describes it as "SSU rRNA". It matches the Rfam family "Eukaryotic small subunit ribosomal RNA", at positions 569 to 1089 of the family's 1831-position model. Lineage: Eukaryota; Fungi; Glomeromycota; Glomeromycetes; Glomerales; Glomeraceae. The record is from RNAcentral.
AGCAGCCGCGGUAAUUCCAGCUCCAAUAGCGUAUAUUAAAGUUGUUGCAGUUAAAAAGCUCGUAGUUGAAUUUCGGGGUCAGUAGGCUGGUCGUGCCCCCGGUACGUACUGGUCUCACUGAUUCCUCCUUCCUGAAGAACCGUAAUGCCAUUAAUUUGGUGUUGCGGGGAAACAGGACUGUUACUUUAGAAAAAAUUAGAGUGUUUAAAGCAGGCUAACGCUUGAAUACAUUAGCAUGGAAUAAUGAAAUAGGACGAUCGAUCCUAUUUUGUUGGUUUCUAGGAUUGACGUAAUGAUUAAUAGGGAUAGUUGGGGGCAUUAGUAUUCAAUUGUCAGAGGUGAAAUUCUUGGAUUUAUUGAAGACUAACUACUGCGAAAGCAUUUGCCAAGGAUGUUUUCAUUAAUCAAGAACGAAAGUUAGGGGAUCGAAGACGAUCAGAUACCGUCGUAGUCUUAACCAUAAACUAUGCCGACUAGGGAUCGGAUGAUGUUAAUUUUAUAAUGACUCAUUCGGCGCCUU